UUUGCUGUGAGUCUGUGACUGCAACCAAUUCUUACACACCGUAUUACUGUUCGUUAUUGGUCUGUGUACGAAGUAUAAUUUAUCUGAGAUGGUUCAUUUCGUAUAUAGGAUAGUGUGUCUUUGCGCUCUUUUGGGUGUUUUUCCUUUGACCCCUUUCACAUUCACGUAAUUGUAAAUGCAUAAAGACACUAGCUAGUUCAUAGCAAAAUGGCUAGUUGUGCAGAAACAGUAUAAACGCGUUGUCACGGCUCUUGCUGUUUUCUACUAAGUGAUACAUUGUAACUUUUAGAACGACACUUCGCUCAUUUUUCUCUUACACGCUUUGGAGAUUAAACUAUAUAAAAAAGAAUCAGAGGAGGCGGAACCGGCCCCUGGUGUUCAAAGUUAACGCACUGAGUCACUGCUCCUCAGAGAGACACUUAGCGGUUAGUGAGUUGAUUUGAAGUUAUCUGUUUGUUUGUGCUCUUGUGUGCCUGGCGUCAUAGGGUUUUCCUCGCCAAACAAACAGCAUUUAGCUAGUUUUCCUGUACAAAUGUAUUGACUGACUGAUAGCUAGCUACAGCAGAUAGCCCCGAUUUGGUUGACAGGCAAAUUUGGUAGUGUCGGCGUGUUCUUUGAUUUGACAGAGGACUGACUCAAAAUUACGUUUAACCUUUUAUUUCAAAUUGUAUCAUUAAAAAUAGCUUGCAACCAAUCGCCCAGAAAAAAAAAAAGGAAAAAGGGACAGCUGCUGUCAAAGCCAUCACUCUGCAGCUGUGCCUUAUGUCGGCGUGUUACACAAUAAUAUCAUAUUGAAUAUGAAUGUGAUUGGUGGACUAUAGUUGGGGAGGAGCCGUUGUUUAGACUUAGCUCUCCCUAGUAGGUGCACAGGCUGGUCCCAGCCUCUUGGCACCCUACCACAUCCAAUCCCGGGAGACAGCGCCCUGUAAGGGAAUAAGCCCUGCCUCUUUGUUUACUUCCUGGUUCUGACUCUUGACUAACUGAGCUGUUUCUUCCCAACGGGCGGGGAGUGCUGUACUGCCAACUGCGUUCAAGGCCGCGCCUAUCAGCAAACUCUUAAGUGUUUUAUCUUCUGCGAGGGAGUGUGGGAUAUGAGUGCAAACUGAGAACAAUGCAUUCUUUCUGUUACAGGUCCUCCAUGGGUACUGAGGCUACCUACUGUAUGACUGCACCUGGCUAACUUGGAGAGAGCCAGGCUGACACUGGCAGCAGGUCUUCUUGCUCACACCACCACACACAGGCCCCUACUCCUUGUUCAUCUGUCAGACGCUAGCAAGAUGUAUCAGCGCUCAGAGGUGUGUGUGUCCUAACACUGAAGUUACCACCUUACCUAGACAUUUGUUUUGAACCUCACAGAAUUUACUUUCAUUGCAAAGGACCAGAUCAUAGGGCUUGAAAGGCAGCAGGGAUGACUACUUUGGAUGGAGUGUCACUCAUCUCGGGCCGUGUGUUGGGGUCUCAAUACACAGAGUACCUGACUGUACCUACCAAGAGACAGCCGGCCCCUGAAUUUGUCUUUCUCAAAGAAACAUGGUUUGCUCAUGAGUGCAAAGGGCUAAGACAUAAAGUGUGCUUGGAAUUUACCUUCCAAAUUGUAAAUGAAAAAUUAACAAUAAAUUAUUGUAGAAUUUGUAUGAAUCAAUGAUGGCAGCAAUCCAGAGAGGUCCCAUCUGUUAACAUUCAAUGUACAAAUGUAUUAAUUCUUUCUCUUGUUUUUUCUCAUAACAUCUACCUCAUUCAAAAAUAAAUAUAAGCAAUAUUCUGUUUUGUUGAAAUUGUCAUUCACAAAUGUAAACAAUGUGUAUGUAAUUCAUGAUCGAGUAUAUUGAUUCAGUUGGAGAUUUAAAACUGUAUUUUAAUUUGCUGGAUGAUUAAAAUGGUUUGUGUCCAGUGCACACAUUAAAUAUGUGUAGUAGCUCGUACUGGGCCCAUAAAUGUAUUAAUUCUUAAUCAUAAAUUUGUUGGAUUGUUUUGUAUUAAUCAGAAAGAGGAUACACUAUGUGGCCAAAUUCUGUAGGGAAAAGAAUGUAGCAAUUCAUAAAAUAAAAUUAAUUAUGUUUUUGUAUUGUACCAUUCCCCCGCUAUUGUUGGAGACUAAAUGUUAGCCUUUUAAAAAGUUAAAAGGGGGUUAUAAAUACCUGUUAAUGUAAAGAAAUUAGUUUUUUUUCCCCUUAAAAUCAAAUAAAGGAUGUGU
Molecule: long non-coding RNA, 2194 nt
Organism: Xiphias gladius (swordfish)
Lineage: Eukaryota; Metazoa; Chordata; Actinopteri; Istiophoriformes; Xiphiidae
Exons: 3
Source: RefSeq, a predicted model, not a curated record